This 631-nucleotide ribosomal RNA is filed under the name uncultured Clavulinaceae. Its description in RNAcentral is "eukaryotic LSU rRNA". The stretch from base 201 to 354 matches the Rfam family "5.8S ribosomal RNA". Lineage: Eukaryota; Fungi; Basidiomycota; Agaricomycetes; Cantharellales; Hydnaceae. The record is from RNAcentral.
UGCGGAGGAUCAUUAACGAAUUGUAAUUGGAGUUGAUGCUGGCAGGCUUGGCUGCAUGGGGUCGCUCCUAACAAUCUUCAUCCAAACACCUGUGCACAUUUAGAGAGGGUCUCCGAGUCCUCCUUGGAGUCCCUUCCUCUCAUUACACACUUUAUUUCAAUGUUGAACGUGAUUGUGCCGUAAGGCCUUAAUAUUAAUACAACUUUUAACAACGGAUCUCUUGGCUCUCGCAUCGAUGAAGAACGCAACGAAUUGCGAUAAGUAAUGUGAAUUGCAGAAUUCAGUGAAUCAUCAAAUUUUUGAACGCACCUUGCGCUCCCUGGUAUUCCGGGGAGCACGCCUGUUCGAGUGUCGUGAAAUUCUCAAACCGGGAUGCUUUUUUUGUUUCUCGGCUUGGUGUUGGGCUUUGCAGUUCCUUUGAUUGGGAUGGCUGGCCUUAAAAGCAUUAGCUGGCUUUUCAUGUGGCAUUGGUUCUACUCAGCGUGAUAAUGAUCUGACCGCCGAGGACAUCUUUCGAGGUGGCCAAUUCUCAUUUGGGCUGCUUCUAAUUUUGGUAGAGCACAUUCUGAAUCUGUUCCACUUUUCAGCUUUUGACCUCCAAUCAGGUGGGACUACCCGCUGAACUUAAGCA